AGAAUCAACGCUGGCGACGUGCCUCAGACAUGCAAGUCGAACGAUUAAAGCUCUCUUCGGAGAGUGUAUAGAGUGGCGCACGGGUGAGUAACACGUAAGUAAUCUACCUUCGAGUGGGGAAUAACAGUCGGAAACGACUGCUAAUACCGCAUAAUGCAGCGGCAUCGCAAGAUGACAGUUGUUAAAGGAUUUAUUCGCUUGAAGAGAGCUUGCGGCAGAUUAGCUAGUUGGUAAGGUAAUGGCUUACCAAGGCUACGAUCUGUAACCGGUCUAAGAGGACGGUCGGUCACACUGACACUGAAUAACGGGUCAGACUCCUACGGGGAGGCAGCAGUCGGGUAAUUUGGGACAAGUGGGCGAAAGCCUGACCAGCAACGCGCGUAGAAGGA
RNAcentral lists this ribosomal RNA (389 nucleotides) under uncultured soil bacterium. RNAcentral describes it as "bacterial SSU rRNA". It matches the Rfam family "Bacterial small subunit ribosomal RNA", at positions 26 to 409 of the family's 1533-position model. The record is from RNAcentral.